Molecule: ribosomal RNA, 269 nt
Filed under: uncultured bacterium
Lineage: Bacteria
Description: partial 16S ribosomal RNA
Rfam family: Bacterial small subunit ribosomal RNA
Source: RNAcentral
GUCCACGCCGUAAACGAUAACCACUAGAUGUUGGUUCGGCUUAGCUGGAUCAGUGUCGUAGCUAACGCGUUAAGUGGUUCGCCUGGGGAGUAUGGUCGCAAGGCUAAAACUUAAAGAAUUGACGGGGUCCGCACAAGCGGUGGAACAUGUGGUUUAAUUCGACACUACGCGAGAACCUUACCUGGACUUGACAUGUACUCGACAGUCGUAGAAAUACGAUCUUUUGGGUUUCGAUUCAAACGGGUACACAGGUGCUGCAUGGCUGUCGU